Dermatophagoides farinae (American house dust mite) is the source of this 2115-nucleotide non-coding RNA. The record is from RefSeq and is a predicted model, not a curated record. NCBI's taxonomy places the organism in Eukaryota, Metazoa, Arthropoda, Arachnida, Sarcoptiformes, Pyroglyphidae.
CAAUUAAUUCAGGUCAAAAAAAGAACAAAAAAACCUAAAUUUUACUUACAAAAAAAAAAUUGUUUGAAUGAAUUCCAAUUGUACUGGAAAAAUCUAACAGUAAUGAAAAAAAAGACAAGAAUUUCAUAGAACAAAAAUCCAUUGAUGAUGAUCAUUUAGUCGAAUGACCCAUAAGGUACGUGUCCAGAAUUUUGUUUUUUUUUCUCUACUGAUGAAUGAUAAUAAACAUCAUUUUUUUUCUCUCUUUCUCUAUCAAUCCGCAAAUUGUGACAAAAUUGCCUACACACAAAAAAAUCUAUAAUUGGCCAUAAUAAUCUACGGUGAUGAUGAAACUUUUGGUUUUCUGGAAGAUCCUACCAUGAAAGGAAAAAAUUAUUUAUUAAAUUAACAAAUUCAAUCAACGAGGAAAAAAAAAUGAGAAAAAACUGAUAGUGUGACAUUGUUCUUUCCAUUAUUAUUACCAUUGUCCACACACACUGGUCUUUAAUUUGAUAUAAUUAUAUUCUUGCUUGUGGCCGUUGUUGUUCACACAACUAACUAGAGAGAAAGUCAUCCGAAUGAAAAAAUAAUUCCCCAUCAUUGAUUGUGGUGAUGAUGAUGAUGAUGAUAAUAGUAGUAGUGAGCCAACAAUGUUGUGGCCAUAUAAACUUGGUUAAUUUUGUUGAUUGAAAUCAAAUCUAUUAUUUGAAGAAGAGAAUGGUGGAAAAAAUACACAAAAUUCAUUUCAUUUUCAAUUCGACAAUUCAAUCCAUCCAUCUAAUAUAUGAAGACGAAAAACAAAGUCUCAAAUUGUUCACUCAUCCAUAAUUAUAGCGGAAAAGUGUAAAUUUUGGAACCUACUCACAACGGAACUGAAAUACAGAACAAGGACAUCAAUGAAAAGAAAAAUGAACUGGAAAAUCAAAAACAAAAAAAAAUUUUUUUUAGACAUUUUGCCCAAAUUGGAUAAUGUACAAAUGUAUAUGUGAUCAUCACACACACACCAACAUAUGAAAGAAAGCUGUUGAUAACGAAAAAUCUCUGAAAAAAUUUACUUUUUCAAUUUCGAAUAAAUAUGUGUGUGUGUGUGUGUGUCAACCGAACGAACAAACGAAGAAUAAUCAUUAAGAAUGCAAUAAUGGAAUAACGGGUAUCAUGCCAUUGCCGGUGAGAAUGAGAUAGCGAUAAAAUCAAAAAAAAUUCAACUGGAACCAUAUAUAUGAAUAUUAAGCGAAAAAAACUAUUCGAUAAUGACUGAUCGGAAAAAAGGAAGAAAAAAUCGAUUCACAAAGGUGGACGACUUGGAAAAAUUCAAAUGGAAAUUCAUCAUAACGGAAGAAAAAAAAAUGAUAAAAAUAAUUGACUAUGAGAGCGAAGAAGAAUUUAUGUAAAUCAUCAUCAUCACGGUCGUCAUUCUAUUACGAAAUAAUAUUCUAUAUUUUUUUCCUACAAUCAAGCUAAAUUCAUUUCCAUUAUCAUCAUAAUCAUUGUUGAUGAUUGACGAUGACAAAAACGACGAUUAUCACCUCUUUUCAUCAUCACCAUCUCUCUCUCUCUCUCUCUUCUUGGUUAUACUACAGAAGAUGAUCGCAAUUGAUGAAGUGAUGAUGGAAUCAACAAAAAAAAACAACUUUAUUUUAAAUGGAAAUCAUAAUGAUAAUGAUAAUGAUGAAAAUGAAUCGGACGAAUAAAUAAUUUUUUUUUUCAUUUUACCAUCAUCAUCAUCUUCCAUUUUCAAGAGAAAAAGUAUUACAUUCCUAAUAGUUUUUUUUGUUGUUCCAACAACAAAAAAAAAUUGUCAUUUCAAACGGCUACGAUGAUUAUGAUGAUGACGAUGACGAUGACGAUGAUGACAAUAAAUUUAUGAAUCACUGAAUUGUCGCCAUCAUUAUCAUCAUCGUCAACAACGAAGACGACAACGGUAAUGUGAAAAUGUAGAAAAUGGAUUUGUCAACAAGAUUUUUGAAAAUGAUAUAUUCGUUAUAUAUCAUCACAUAUACAAUGUAGAAAAUAUUGUUUUGAACAACAACAACAAAAAAUGAUAUUCUUUUCUAUAUUCAAAAAACCACCCACCCUCGUCUAUCCCUUGUGACAUAAAUACACAGUGAUGAUGAAUAUAUUGUUGUUACAUAAGAA